AAUCCUUCAUCCUCAUUAGCUAAAGUGAGCAUAAUUUGUAAUUGUUUCUCAUGAUUUACAUAGCUGCUUUGAUUUUUUGCCCAAAUAUUUACACCGAAACCAUCCAAAAUGAGCAACAGAAACCAAACCCUUCAAAUAAAUAAAUAAAUUUGAAAUAGAUCAUAUUAUAUUAUCAAAGAACAAGGAGAAAAACUAGGACAACUAGGAAACUAAAUAAAUUAGUAAAUAAAAAAAAAAAGAAGAGAACGACAGGGGAGAGGGAGUUGAAGAGGAUAGAAAUAAGAGAAAAGAAGACGCUAAAUAAAUUAAAAUGAAAACUCCUUGUUUGGUUGUUGGGUUGUUGGAAUUGGCCAUGUGAAAAAUAAGAUGCCAAAUACUAUGUAAUGGAAAUUACUUACACGAAGAACUUGUGAGUUCAAAUGUGGAAAACUUUAUAUACAUAAAACUAGGUUAGUAUUUUCUUAUUGAUUUUAUGUUUAAGUUACAAGGUUAGAAUCUAGGGGCACUAAUGCUGAAGCAUGAAAGAAGCCACAAAGGUUUGGUCUGUAUUAUAUCUAGUCCACCUUUCCUAGCUUCUGUAAUUAACAGGGCAAACAUGAAUAUCCUCAUAAAUCAGCCUUCAAGUUAUUAUUAGUUACACAUGAGAUAUACCAUUUAUUUGGUACAUAUGAGUAGUGGAAUUAUAUUUGGUAAUCUUCUGAACUAUGUGAAAUGAUACUCAUGGUUCCUCUGCUUGAAUUAGGUUAGGGCUGCUUGCAAGUCCUUGCCCUUGACAUUGUACCUUUACUUUUGUUAAGUUUUGACCCUGAACUAUUUAAAUUGCUAUUAAACUUCUUUGACUGUUCUAUUCUUACUGUUAUACAGGAGAAGGAACAGUCUGCUCUUCGUGCACAGAGCAACCCUGUUAGAAGCAGCAAAAGCCAGGCUAAGAUUACUGAAGAAAGCGUGCCCAAGACUGUGAAGUUCCAACCCUUCAUCCAAGAAGAAGCCUUAGUUAGUAUACACAAUGAUGUUUUCCCAAGUACAGCAGAGCAAUUCUUUGGGUCUUUCUUUGAGGGAUGUUUUAGAGCUGAAGGAGGCUGUUAAAAUUAAAGAUGGUGAAUCGGAGGCUUAUAUUUCUGAAAUUGAGGUCUGAUGAUUAUGUUUAAGUCCUCAGAUAACCAUACUAUUAGUCAAGCAUAUGAAGAUAUGCAGACACAAAACCAACAUUUGUUGCAGCAGGUGGCUGAAAGGGAUGAUUAUAAUAUCAAGGCCAAGCAAUUCAGCAAGAGGUUAAUUUAUUUAGUUGCAACAGAACACUUACCAAAGCAAGUUGAAGAAUCCAAAAUGGACAUGCCCAAAGAAAUUUUUCUUAAAGAUUACAAGGUGCCUGAUUACUACUUUUGUAUGGAAUUAUUAUUUUAGAUUGGAAUAUA
This is a non-coding RNA of Camellia sinensis, 1415 nucleotides long. The record is from RefSeq and is a predicted model, not a curated record. Lineage: Eukaryota; Viridiplantae; Streptophyta; Magnoliopsida; Ericales; Theaceae.